GAUGAACGCUGGCGGCGUGCCUAAUACAUGCAAGUCGAGCGAAUGGAUUAAGAGCUUGCUCUUAUGAAGUUAGCGGCGGACGGGUGAGUAACACGUGGGUAACCUGCCCAUAAGACUGGGAUAACUCCGGGAAACCGGGGCUAAUACCGGAUAACAUUUUGAACCGCAUGGUUCGAAAUUGAAAGGCGGCUUCGGCUGUCACUUAUGGAUGGACCCGCGUCGCAUUAGCUAGUUGGUGAGGUAACGGCUCACCAAGGCAACGAUGCGUAGCCGACCUGAGAGGGUGAUCGGCCACACUGGGACUGAGACACGGCCCAGACUCCUACGGGAGGCAGCAGUAGGGAAUCUUCCGCAAUGGGCGAAAGUCUGACGGAGCAACGCCGCGUGAGUGAUGAAGGCUUUCGGGUCGUAAAACUCUGUUGUUAGGGAAGAACAAGUGCUAGUUGAAUAAGCUGGCACCUUGACGGUACCUAACCAGAAAGCCACGGCUAACUACGUGCCAGCAGCCGCAUAA
This 514-nucleotide ribosomal RNA is filed under the name uncultured bacterium. Its description in RNAcentral is "partial 16S ribosomal RNA". It matches the Rfam family "Bacterial small subunit ribosomal RNA", at positions 28 to 522 of the family's 1533-position model. The record is from RNAcentral.